GAGAAAUAGAAAGGUGCAGCUGCCUAUUGGAGGGGAUGAAUAAACAUUGAAAAAGAAGUCUGCAACAGCCCAAAAAGGAAGAAAGAAGGAUUUUAAAAAUGAAUAAAAGUGGAGGUCAUGUGCACGCACAAAAAACACUAAGAUACUAUCAUUUGAACCAUAAUUUUGGUGAUUUUGGAACCUUUGAUGCAUGUCAUCAUGGAUAUAACUCCUUAUAUUGGGGUGACAUGGGAC
RNAcentral lists this long non-coding RNA (234 nucleotides) under Prunus persica (peach). RNAcentral's name for it is "long non-coding RNA (PPER_LNC008358)". The record is from RNAcentral. Lineage: Eukaryota; Viridiplantae; Streptophyta; Magnoliopsida; Rosales; Rosaceae.